This 633-nucleotide ribosomal RNA is filed under the name Triticum aestivum (bread wheat). RNAcentral's name for it is "partial small subunit ribosomal RNA". Lineage: Eukaryota; Viridiplantae; Streptophyta; Magnoliopsida; Poales; Poaceae. The record is from RNAcentral.
AUGAGUCAGGCAUCCAUGGUGCAGCCGGUUACAACAACUUACAUAGUGUUGGGACCCUUUCGAUUUCCUGGUGAUGGUAGCAUAGAUAUACUUUGGAAGAGAAGGGAGUACACCUUUAAGGAAAAAGGUGCAUUUGUGACUGGUAUUGAUCUCUCCGGAAAUUAUCUAUCUGGUAGCAUCCCGGAGAACAUUGGCAACUUAAAGUUAUUAGAAUCGCUUGACCUCUCGUGGAACAAACUAUCGGGUCCUAUUCCCGUUACCAUGUCAGACUUGAUGUUCCUGAGCUCUCUUAACCUCUCGAACAACCGUCUAUCAGGCGAGAUACCUACAGGAAGUCAGCUCCAGACACUCGAGGACCCAUCGAUCUAUAGCAAUAACCUCGGACUUUGUGGUCCCCCAUUGAGCAUUCCAUGUACAAACAAUUCAGAUACUACGACACCAGCGGAUGGGGCAAAGGAACAUCACCAUGAACUUGAAACAUUAUGGCUUUACUACUCAGUGAUUGCUGGAACUGUCUUCAGUUUUUGGGUAUGGUGUGCAGCACUGUUUUUCUGCAAGAUCUGGAGGUUUGCUUUCUUCAGCUGCAUCGAUGCGCUGUACCAAAAGUUUAUACUGAAGAUGAAGCGCACCUGA